UGCUGCACAUAACAUUAUAGUCUUUACAUACCAGGAUUUGGGGAUUUCCAUCAGGUGUUUCUGAUAUUUGACCCUUGACCUUUACUUUAAUUACAGGGUGGUAAAGGUGACCAAGGACCCCCCGGAGGCCCUGGAGACAAAGGAGACAAGGUGGGUCUGUCUUUUUAUGACCCAAGCUGUGUUUAUUUGAGUCUAAUCUAUGAAUCCACACCAUAUAUCUGAACUGACAGGGUCAUCCAGGACCCCCAGGACAUCCCGGGACCCCUGGCUUGAUGGGCACACCAGUAAGUUUCUUUUCGGUCCUUGACUGGAAAAUGAAUCUUAGUAUUUAUCUUGAUCAGGACAUUUUAGCAAUUGUUUGAACGCUGACACUUUUCUCCUUAGGGUACUGAUGGACAGCCUGGCCCUGUUGGCCCCCCGGGGCCCCCUGGAGAAAAGGGUAAAGAGGGUCUCAAAGGAAUUCAAGGACCUGCAGGCCUACCUGGUUUGAUUGGUCCACCCGGAAAAACUGGAAAAGAUGGCAGAUCAGGUGAACCAGGAGACCAGGGCAAGCAAGGUGAACCCGGGCUGCCAGGAAAUCCCGGGCUUAGGGGACUCCCGGUGAGUAACAGCCAGUAAAGGAGGUGGGAGGUGUGAAUGGCUGCAACUGACUCCUUUCUGCUUCUGUAGGGUUUUAAGGGCCACAGAGGGGAACCAGGAGCUCCAGGAGUUAAGGUCAGUGUGUGAUGUUCCCUUUCAUGAACGGGUCAGUUCAGACCAGCUGCAGCUGUAAAACACUCGAAAUAAAAGGCAUUUUUGCUGAGCGUCAAACUUGAAACUGAGCC
Molecule: long non-coding RNA, 824 nt
Filed under: Takifugu rubripes (torafugu)
Lineage: Eukaryota; Metazoa; Chordata; Actinopteri; Tetraodontiformes; Tetraodontidae
Description: lncRNA (ENSTRUG00000030983.1)
Source: RNAcentral